This 465-nucleotide ribosomal RNA is filed under the name uncultured bacterium. Its description in RNAcentral is "partial 16S ribosomal RNA". It matches the Rfam family "Bacterial small subunit ribosomal RNA", at positions 28 to 507 of the family's 1533-position model. The record is from RNAcentral.
GACGAACGCUGGCGGCGUGCUUAACACAUGCAAGUCGAACGGAAAGGCCCCUUCGGGGGUACUCGAGUGGCGAACGGGUGAGUAACACGUGAGUAACCUGCCCUUGACUUCGGGAUAACUUCAGGAAACUGGGGCUAAUACCGGAUAGGAAUCCUUGCUUCAUGGUGGGGGUUGGAAAGCUUCGGCGGUUUUGGAUGGACUCGCGGCUUAUCAGCUUGUUGGUGGGGUAGUGGCUUACCAAGGCUUUGACGGGUAGCCGGCCUGAGAGGGCGACCGGCCACAUUGGGACUGAGAUACGGCCCAGACUCCUACGGGAGGCAGCAGUGGGGAAUAUUGCACAAUGGGCGGAAGCCUGAUGCAGCAACGCCGCGUGCGGGAUGACGGCCUUCGGGUUGUAAACCGCUUUCAGCAGGGGCGAAGCUUGUGGUGACGGUACCUGCAGAAGAAGCACCGGCUAACUACGUG